RNAcentral lists this ribosomal RNA (376 nucleotides) under uncultured bacterium. RNAcentral's name for it is "bacterial SSU rRNA". It matches the Rfam family "Archaeal small subunit ribosomal RNA", at positions 477 to 853 of the family's 1478-position model. The record is from RNAcentral.
CAGCACCCCGAGUGGUCGGGACGAUUAUUGGGCCUAAAGCAUCCGUAGCCGGUCCUGCAAGUCCUCCGUUAAAUCCACCCGCUCAACGGUUGGGCCGCGGGGGAUACUACAGGGCUAGGAGGCGGGAGAGGCAAGCGGUACUCGAUGGGUAGGGGUAAAAUCCACUGAUCCAUUGAAGACCACCAGUGGCGAAGGCGGCUUGCCAGAACGCGCUCGACGGUGAGGGAUGAAAGCUGGGGGAGCAAACCGGAUUAGAUACCCGGGUAGUCCCAGCUGUAAACGAUGCAGACUCGGUGAUGGGCUGGCUUCGUGCCAACCCGGUGCCGCAGGGAAGCCGUUAAGUCUGCCGCCUGGGGAGUACGGUCGCAAGACUGAA